This 390-nucleotide long non-coding RNA is filed under the name Salvia miltiorrhiza (redroot sage). RNAcentral describes it as "long non-coding RNA (SMIL_LNC009453)". Lineage: Eukaryota; Viridiplantae; Streptophyta; Magnoliopsida; Lamiales; Lamiaceae. The record is from RNAcentral.
AUCUGAUAUAGGGGUGCAGCAGCGCUGCCUUUGAGAUAGGUGCAACAAUGGUGGUACCUAAUGUCUUUCUCUAUCCACCCAUCUUCGAACCCAAACAAUAUUCCGAAACGACCUUGCUUUGAGUUACAAGAAAGACACAACAAUGUUGCCCUCUCUGUUGAACUACUUCUUCGUUCUAAAACCAGAAUUGGCGUAUGAUAGCCUUGUAUGUGAUGCCGAGCACUCAUUCAAAACCUCUCAUGUAGCCCUGCCCUGAACCAAAAUUUUCAUGAAUGCAGCCCUGCUCCAGGGUGUACUCCGAUUCCAUCAACAAAGACGUCCUGAAAGAAAUCAUAAUCAAAAGAAACUCAAUCAAAAACACCCUGAACUAUGCCGUUUAACCAGUAUCCU